CUACGGGUGGCUGCAGUGGGGAAUAUUGCGCAAUGGGCGAAAGCCUGACGCAGCAACGCCGUGUGAGGGAUGAAGGCCUUUGGGUCGUAAACCUCUGUCAGAUGGGAAGAAUUCUGACGGUACCAUCAGAGGAAGCCCCGGCUAACUCCGUGCCAGCAGCCGCGGUAAUACGGAGGGGGCAAGCGUUGUUCGGAAUCAUUGGGCGUAAAGAGUAUGUAGGCGGCCAGACAAGUCAGACGUGCAAGCCCACGGCUCAACCGUGGAAUUGCGUUUGAAACUGUUUGGCUUGAGUACAGGAGAGGAAAGCGGAAUUCCCAGUGUAGCGGUGAAAUGCAUUGAUAUUGGGAAGAACACCGGUGGCGAAGGCGGCUUUCUGGUCUGCUACUGACGCUGAGAUACGAAAGCCAGGGGAGCAAAGGGGAUUAGAUACCCUCGUAGUC
Molecule: ribosomal RNA, 440 nt
Filed under: uncultured bacterium
Lineage: Bacteria
Description: partial 16S ribosomal RNA
Rfam family: Bacterial small subunit ribosomal RNA
Source: RNAcentral